UGCGCAGGCGCCGGGUCGGGAGCUGGCAGCGGGGAGGAGGACCGAGGAAGGGCCUCACGGCGGCCAUGUUGGCUCGCUCUGAGAAAACACGUCAGGUAGUGGGGGGCAGCCUCGUCUCUGCCCAUUAAAAGCCGUAUUUGUGAACGCCAGAAACAAGAACAGCGAGGGAAGCAGGGUGCAAAAUAGCCUGCGCCCGGAUUGUAACUACUAAAAGGAUGCUUAAAAAAAUUACCUGCGUCAAAUAGCCCCACGUAGUAGUUGUCUUGAUUUGGGCGUUCGCUAAGGGUCUGAGACGUAUUUAAACCUAGUUAAGUCAUUCUUGGCUGGGACCCACACGCACUGACGUUGGUUUGGAAAGAUUUUCCGAAAGUUUGAAUUAAAAGUUUAAUGAGUGAGCAGGAGCUGGACUCAGGAAGUCAGACGACGUUCCCUCCCUGGGGGGCCUGAGUGUUCAGGCCGAAUAACUGCGCCCGGAGGCGCGGAGGGCGCGAGGACAAGACGAGCGUCGGGGAACAGCCUCUGAACGACGACAGUCGUCCGCCUGCGGUUUGACGGAACGAGGUGCCGAUCCCGACCCCCGCGCCCCGCCCGCCUCCGUUUUGUCACUUGAAAAACAUCCUCACUCGUUCCAGACUUAGUCGGAAGCACAUAAAAUUAUCACCUAUUACGAUAAAGCAUAAUUUUACUGGUCAUGUUUGCACAGGAGAACAACGCAGAUAACCUGCCCUGUACAGAUGCACAACGAUUGUGGGGUAACGUGAUGAGGAAAACACGUUCCCAAAAUUCCUAUGGUGGUUUGCAUUUCUUAAGCCCCUUAAAGGAUUUGAAAGUGCUUGAAACCAUUAAUACCUAAAUCCUUACAUCGAGGCCAGGACCACUAAAUAUAAGGUAAAAAGGGAGAAAUUCGUCACAGUAACCCGGGAAAUGGAUAGCUGUUCAGGAUGCAGGUAGCAGCACGUUUAAUUAAGCAAACCUACGGAAUCCCGGUCUCAGGAGGACGAAGCUACUGACCGUCACCGCGCAGCCCUGUGCAUAGGUUCUCACAGACCCUAACUACGGUGCACGAGAUGGGCAUCGCGCGUAUUCUGCUGUUACAGGUAAAGGCCGCGGUGGACGACUGUGUGCAGAGCAAUUUAGGGGGUUUAAAUAAUUUCUUUAGGAGAGAUCCCUACACUAAAAUUACAGGAUGAGCGACAAUGAACGUUGAAAAAAACGUUGUACAUAUUGCCAAAAUUGCUUUCCAGACUGGUUUUAAAAUUAGCAAAGCCCAAAUCCAGCCAAUCGUUAACUUGGGAUAUACCCAAAGUCUCAUUUAUGAAAUCAACUAUUUUAGUGUGUCCUUCUGUGCGUGUUAUGGGCUGUUUGGAGGGCUAUAACCCCCCAAAUUCAUGUGUAAGUACUAACUCCCACUAGCUCAGAAUGUGACUUUGUAAAUAGGGCCUUAACAGAGAGAAUUAGAUUAAAUGUGGUAAUUAGGGUGGGCCCUAAUCCAGUAACUGGUGUUUCUUUAUAAAAAGGGAUUAAGAUACAGACAUGUACAGAGCAAAGACCAUUUAAAGACAGAAGAUGGUCAUCCGCAAGCCAAGGAGCGAGGUCUCUAAGUAAACAACCCUGCGCACACCUUGAUUUCCCAGCUUCCGGUCUCGAGAAGUGUGAAGGAAUUUCCUGUUGUAUAAACCACCCAGUGUCUGACUGCGCUCCUGCAGAGCAGGCAGUGUCCAAAGCACCUUUGUAUCCAAGCCUGGAAGAACCUCAAUAAAUUAAUUACUAUCUGCAAAGCACAAUAAAGCAAGGUAUGCCUGGA
Equus caballus (horse) is the source of this 1804-nucleotide non-coding RNA. NCBI's taxonomy places the organism in Eukaryota, Metazoa, Chordata, Mammalia, Perissodactyla, Equidae. The record is from RefSeq and is a predicted model, not a curated record.